GUCCGCGAGGACAAUUUGACAAUUUGACCUCAAAUCAGGUACGAAUGCGCCGCGCCAG
Molecule: ribosomal RNA, 58 nt
Filed under: Pleurotus eryngii var. elaeoselini
Lineage: Eukaryota; Fungi; Basidiomycota; Agaricomycetes; Agaricales; Pleurotaceae
Description: partial 28S ribosomal RNA
Source: RNAcentral